This 408-nucleotide ribosomal RNA is filed under the name uncultured bacterium. Its description in RNAcentral is "bacterial SSU rRNA". It matches the Rfam family "Bacterial small subunit ribosomal RNA", at positions 97 to 520 of the family's 1533-position model. The record is from RNAcentral.
GGCGAACGGGUGAGUAACACGUGAGUAAUCUGCCCCUGGCUUUGGGAUAGCCACCGGAAACGGUGAUUAAUACCGAAUAUGACUCAUGACUGCAUGGUUGUGGGUGGAAAGUUUUUCGGCCAGGGAUGUGCUCGCGGCCUAUCAGCUUGAUGGUGAGGUAAUGGCUCACCAUGGCUUCGACGGGUAGCCGGCCUGAGAGGGUGACCGGUCACACUGGGACUGAGACACGGCCCAGACUCCUACGGGAGGCAGCAGUGGGGAAUAUUGGACAAUGGGCGGAAGCCUGAUCCAGCAACGCCGCGUGAGGGAUGACGGCCUUCGGGUUGUAAACCUCUUUCAGUACCGACGAAGCGCAAGUGACGGUAGGUACAGAAGAAGCACCGGGCAACUACGUGCCAGCCGCCGCGG